UACGUAGGGUGCGAGCGUUGUCCGGAAUUAUUGGGCGUAAAGAGCUUGUAGGCGGUUUGUCGCGUCUGCUGUGAAAAUCCGGGGCUCAACCCCGGACUUGCAGUGGGUACGGGCAGACUAGAGUGUGGUGGGGGAGACUGGAAUUCCUGGUGUAGCGGUGAAAUGCGCAGAUAUCAGGAGGAACACCGAUGGCGAAGGCAGGUCUCUGGGCCACUACUGACGCUGAGAAGCGAAAGCAUGGGGAGCGAACAGG
Molecule: ribosomal RNA, 253 nt
Filed under: uncultured bacterium
Lineage: Bacteria
Description: partial 16S ribosomal RNA
Rfam family: Bacterial small subunit ribosomal RNA
Source: RNAcentral